Phyllostomus discolor (pale spear-nosed bat) is the source of this 601-nucleotide long non-coding RNA. RefSeq lists it as uncharacterized. The record is from RefSeq and is a predicted model, not a curated record. NCBI's taxonomy places the organism in Eukaryota, Metazoa, Chordata, Mammalia, Chiroptera, Phyllostomidae. The transcript has 2 exons.
CGAGGAAAACAGAUGAAGGUGCAGCUUAAACAAAAAGAAACACGGCUUAUUGCCAGUGUCUAACAACGGAAUGGGUCUUUUUCGAGACCAUCUGUAUUGUAUGGAUACACGUGAACUUAAAACAGACCCGCCUGUGGGCAGAGCUCUCUGUGUGUGUCAACUCUUUACAGGAGCGAUAGCAUUUAAGCCUCAACUUUGUGAGUUUUUGUUGCAAAAGAACUUGUGAUGAACCAUAACUGUUUACAUAUGCUAUGACAUAUCAUUGUGAGGGUUAAAACAAUUAAUAUGAAAGUGCCAGAAGUGCUAAGAAGUAAGGAAAUGGGAGAAGGCCAACACACUUUGCAUUAAUGAGGUACAAUUGGAAAAGAUGGAUUUAAAUAAUUUGAGAUCAAGAAGAAACAUGGCUGUAUGAACAGUAUAUGUGUCUUAUAUCUGUAUUGUACGUUUGUGUACUGGUUAAGUGAGUGAACUCUGGAAUCAAUGCACCUGAGUUUGAAUCUCAGCUCUGCUACUUGGUGUGCCCCUAUAUGAGUUACUUUUUCUCACUUUGAUCUUCUGUAAAAGGAGUAAUGCUAGUACCUCAUUUGGUGCUUGUAAGGAU